RNAcentral lists this ribosomal RNA (627 nucleotides) under Sphaerobolus jaysukhianus. RNAcentral describes it as "partial large subunit ribosomal RNA". It matches the Rfam family "Eukaryotic large subunit ribosomal RNA", at positions 33 to 639 of the family's 3401-position model. The record is from RNAcentral. Lineage: Eukaryota; Fungi; Basidiomycota; Agaricomycetes; Geastrales; Sphaerobolaceae.
UUUUUAUAAAUCCCAUUGCGGAGGAAAAGAAACUAACAAGGAUUCCCCUAGUAACGGCGAGUGAAGCGGGAAGAGCUCAAAUUUGAAAUCAGGCGGUCUACGGCCGUCCGAGUUGUAGUCUAGAGAAGUGUUUUCCGUGCUGGACCGUGUACAAGUCCCUUGGAAUAGGGCGUCGUAGAGGGUGAGAAUCCCGUCUCUGACACGGACUACCAGUGCUCUGUGAUGCACUCUCGAAGAGUCGAGUUGUUUGGGAAUGCAGCUCAAAAUGGGUGGUAAAUUCCAUCUAAAGCUAAAUAUUGGUGGAAGACCGAUAGCGAACAAGUACCGUGAGGGAAAGAUGAAAAGCACUUUGGAAAGAGAGUUAAACAGUACGUGAAAUUGUUGAAAGGGAAACGCUUGAAGUCAGUCGCGUCCUUCGAGAUUCAGCUUGGCCUUGGCCUGGUGUAUUUCUUGUUGGACGGGCCAGCAUCAAUUUUGACCACUGGAUAAAGGCAGGGGGAAUGUGGCACCUCCGGGUGUGUUAUAGCCCCUUGUUGUAUACAGUGGUUGGGAUUGAGGUCUGCAGCACGCCUUUAUUGGCCGGGGUUCGCCCCACGUUACGUGCUUAAGGAUGCUGGCUAUUUCCCC